CCUACGGGAGGCACCAGUGGGGAAUAUUGCACAAUGGGCGCAAGCCUGAUGCAGCCAUGCCGCGUGUGUGAAGAAGGCCUUCGGGUUGUAAAGCACUUUCAGCGGGGGAGAGGGCGGUGAGGUUAAUAACCUCAUCGAUUGACGUUACCCGCAGAAGAAGCACCGGCUAACUCCGUGCCAGCAGCCGCGGUAAUACGGAGGGUGCAAGCGUUAAUCGGAAUUACUGGGCGUAAAGCGCACGCAGGCGGUCUGUCAAGUCGGAUGUGAAAUCCCCGAGCUCAACCUGGGAACUGCAUUCGAAACUGGCAGGCUAGAGUCUUGUAGAGGGGGGUAGAAUUCCAGGUGUAGCGGUGAAAUGCGUAGAGAUCUGGAGGAAUACCGGUGGCGAAGGCGGCCCCCUGGACGAAGACUGACGCUCAGGUGCGAAAGCGUGGGGAGCAAACAGGAUUAGAUACCCGGGUAGUC
This 465-nucleotide ribosomal RNA is filed under the name uncultured bacterium. RNAcentral describes it as "bacterial SSU rRNA". It matches the Rfam family "Bacterial small subunit ribosomal RNA", at positions 338 to 795 of the family's 1533-position model. The record is from RNAcentral.